UUUCUCUCUCUCUCUCUCAUUCUCUCUCUCAAAAAAUAUGUAUUAAUUUAGUUCGUAACUUGCUAGUUCUGUCUCAUGAAUGUUGACCUGUUCCUUCAUGUGUUCUCCAAUAAUGCAGGCAGAUUGAAAUUUUACCCUCCCUGACCUACUUGGGAAUUCCAGUCUUGUUUCUAUUCCUGCUUCCUCAUCAAGUUUACCAGAGGUCUUAAAGAAUACUGUAAACUGGCCAUGGACACAGAGGAAUGCAUUGAAUAAGCAAUUGCCCCAGCUAUCCAAACAAGUUCCCCCAUUCUCAACCCCUGCUGGGAGUUUAUGGGUCUCCCCCAAGUACAGGCGCUCUCAUGCACUAUUCUAGUUUUAAUUUCAGUGACCCAAAGACUCCUUUUCCAGUGAAAAAUUCAUGAAGAAACACACAGCUGGAUGGAGUCAUAGGCUAAUGUAGAGGAUAACUGAGUGAGGACAUGGUACAAUGUGACAUAACAUGUGUUUGCAUCCCUGAAAAGACCUGGCGGGGUGAACCUUUCACCACGGAUAUAGGUGCCUUUUGGUUAAGCCACAUUUGCAUAGAUUUCUUGGUCUUCUGGGGCCCAUAUUCUCAGAGCUCAGGACACAGAAGAGGCUUUAUCCCAAAGUACCAAGGUGUACUAUGUAAAGAUAUACCACACAGGUGUUACUCCUUGGGGAAGCUGCAGCUGGACUCUAUUAGAGCAACAGCGUGAAGGUGCCUCAUUAAAUCCCUGUUGUUCUGCAAAUAUCAUCUCUCCCCCAAAAGUCAGGGCUCUAGUCAACAGUGUUGGGAUGUUGCUGGAUACAAGGUCCUUCCUCAAAACAGGCAGAAGUGUGAGCUGAUCAAAUUUCUGACUGAUUUCCUUUGCUAGGACCCUUUGUAGCUGUCACCAAACUAGUUUCAGAGCAGUGAUUAGUUAUUUCUCAAUUCCAUCAACAAAGACCCACCAGUUCACAGUAGUGAGGAUGCAGUGAGACUCCUUCAAUACAGCAAUUGAAAUAACCCAAAAUCAUGGACCUGUGGAGGUGAUGCUGUUUGUCUUCAUCUGACUUCAAGCUGUUGGCUUUGGAAAGUCAGGUGGUUUUGGCAAGCUGCUUUCUUUGGUGAUUUUCACUGAGAAGCUACCUCUCAGACAUGCUUGCUUACAUUCUUGCUACGUUAUGCACAUUGGGAAGAGAAGAUGAAUUUCUACAACUUCAUUCACCAGGAUACAUCAGCAGCUGAACAAAGAGAGGAAAUUCUUCUUCUCUGCCUGAGCCUGCAGAGUGUUGCACUGCUCAGGCUGUGGAUCCCUUGGCUACCAGAGGUAAUCCCAAGCAUCACAACUACAGCUGAGAAAAAAUUCUGAGUCUUCAACCCUUGGGAAAGUCUGACAUUUUCAAAUUUGCUUUAGGUUCCAAAACAUGAGGAUAAAGAAAAAAAAAAUACCCAUAAUUCUUAUUCUGUGGAAAUGUCAAAAGCUAUUUUGUUAUUAUUAUUUGUAAAUGUCAAAAUGUCCUGCUUUGACAUUUAAAAUGUAAACAAUGAAAACGCUUCAUCCCUGAGACGGCCUGCACAGCACCCCUUCCUCUGAGGUCCUACCACCACUUCCUGUCAUGCCUCACCGAUGCAUUGCCUUCUGGGAAUUGUGGUCCCAGACUGCCUAUUCUCCUGUGGGCCCGUAACCUCAAUGCAGUUAAUAAAAUGUAGAGAAACCAACACCUAGAGAGGGAUAAAAAGGGACUUAUUGAGAAGGAGUGACCCAGUUCGGCAACUUGGUGCCAGAGGAUAGAGUCUAGAAAGCCAGAAGGGGGAAUCCUAAAAUAGUUCUGCAUCUCCAUGUGUCCCACCAGAUGUCCCAUCAUUGCACAUCUGCAUGGUGGGUCAGAUUACUGGACAAAUUCCUUGCCUUCAGAAUGUAGCAAGGACUAAGCCAUUUCCUCUUCUGAGUAAAGUUAACUGAGAAGAAAACAUGUCAAUGGAAACUAAGAUUAAUUCAGAGAAAGAAACUAUUCCUUGCUGGAUUUGGAGAGCAAGAAAAGUGUGGGAGAAAGACUUUUUUAAAGCUUGCGUGUUUUACCUGGCAUGAACUGCUCACUAGUGAGCUGUAGGAUUGAUUUGUAUAGUAUCAAUGACUAUAGAAACACAACUGCAGGCAGGAUGGGGAUUCACCAUCUGAGUGUAAGUGCCUUAAUAAAAAAGCUGAAGACUUCAACCCAGUGCGCCAAGGUUCUAUCUCUGUCCAGAGCAGGAAACUUCAUCCCCAGAAGGUGCAAGACCUAAGCAGAAAGUUGCAGCUGAGCGGGGUGGAAAAUGUAGCAGGUGGGUGAAGAAAGCUGGUCCCUUGAGUAAGGAUGGAUUCACAUAUGAUCUUCACUAGAGUGCAGCUAGCUGUGCCGUUAGCACUUGACUGCAGGCUGCCAUCAAAAACAAAUGAAUGGAUCGAGCUUGUAACUCGGAGCAGGUCAGGAUGAUGUGAAGGAGAAGCGGGAGCAUUGCACUUGUUCACAUUGCCUCUCUGGAAGAGGAAGAAGCCAUCCCCUGUUUCCCAAGCAGUGCCUGCAGCCUCCUCCAGCCAUGUUUCAGCUGACCUCCAGCAGGAUGACGGGCCACCAGAGGCCCAACGAACGCCAAUGGCUCAGAGCUGUCCGCCAGCAGAGCUAAUGGCCCAGGCCUUGCUGGCAAGAGAGCAGAGAGCAAUAAAUGUCCCAGAGAUGCUGCUGAGUCGAUCCGUUUCCUGCACGCAAGCUGCACAUUGUAAAAACUGAGGCUCGGAUUCUUUUUCCUGUUUGCACUGGAGCAGACCGCAGAAAUUGCACAAUCCUCCAGGCCAGACCCAAGGUGAAUCGUGAGAUGAUGGAUUCCAAGGCAAUAUUUCACACUUGCUGAAAAAGCGAUACAGCCCAGGGGAAGGGACUGUAAUUAGGGAGAGCAGUGACAGCCCACAGACAAAGUAGUUCCAUAAGCAGAGGAAGAAAUGAAAGCUCGUUUCCAAAAGCUCUCACUUGCAUGGAUUCUCCAGUGCUCAAUAAAAGGUGUGAUCCCCAAGCAA
Oxyura jamaicensis (ruddy duck) is the source of this 3038-nucleotide long non-coding RNA. RefSeq lists it as uncharacterized. Lineage: Eukaryota; Metazoa; Chordata; Aves; Anseriformes; Anatidae. The transcript is spliced from 2 exons. The record is from RefSeq and is a predicted model, not a curated record.